GCUCUUAAAGCUAUCGGGAGGGAAUUGUCUGGAGUUCCUCUGUGACAUGGCUGCCUGGGCUUGCAAGGGCAGAGUCUUUUCUGUACUUCCACUCGCUAAGAAAUGUCCUGUUGGGGCAGUUGGAGCUCCUGUUCCAGGCCACCACACAGCAGCUGCCCAGUGAGCACUGCAGGUCAUAGUUCGCACAUUGUGCAAGGCCUCUCUUAGCUACUCCAGCCCUGGAUGACCCUGAGGAUCCCAGAGGGGUAAAGCAACUGCAAGCUGCUGGUGUCUACUCAAUGGGUGCAGACACCAAGGCCCUUAUACUGCCCCUUCCUGACCCGGGCGUUGCCCAAGACCGUCUGUGCCUGAGGAUGCCCUCCUAGUCUGCACCCUGCCUGACAUAGGAGGCUCUAUUGCUGGAGAGGAAUGAGCUGGGGAGAGGGUGCAGAACCCCGCCCCCCUUCCCACCCUCCAACUUUUUAAAGAUUCACUGUCCUCCUCCUACCCCUCUACCAUAAGGUCCCCUUGCCAACCUGAAUGGUUGGGCUAAUUUCAGAAUGGUUUCAAAGAAAAUGUUUCUAGCUGCCUGAAGGGUGUUUGUGUGUAAACUGACUGCCCCAGAGCUGAAAAUUAGGCUGGGUUAUUAUUUUUUCUUUCUUUCUAAAAGCCAAAUGGCUUGAACUAGGGAACCUAAGACGUUUAGGCUGCUGAGAUGACACUGCGCAGACUGGAAAGCUGCUCUACUCCUCCCUCCUACCCAAUUAAGCUGGAAGAUCAAAGACUUCCUUCAGCUCCUGCUCUUGUUCAUCUACUCCCUGCUUGGGCUGGACUCUGGACACAUGAUUUCCUUCUGGCUCUGACCUCUCAGUGGGAAGAUACACUUUCUCUUUGCUCUUACAGCUGGUGAGGGGGGUGAGAGGGUGUGAGACAAGAUAGAGAGUGCAUGUGUGUGUGUGUGUGUGUGCGCGCACGCCUGUGUGUGUUCAGUAAUGUGUGACAGUACAUGAAAGGUGCAGGGAAGUGAGUUCUGGUGUCCAGUUACUAUGGCAACACUAGAUCUGUGGAAAUUCUGUGUGUGACGCAGCUCUCCGUGCUAUAACAAACAUCUGCACCAAGGAAGUUCAGCUUCAGCACCAAAACUCCGACGACUUCAUCCACACACUAUGCCCACUAACGGACUCACUUUAAUAACGUUUCCUUCUGCUGCUGCUGCUGCUGCUGCUGCUGCUGCUUCUGGAGGGAGACUGUUUGGCCGGCUUUUGGAAAACAUGCCAAAUUAACAAGGAAAGGCGUGCGAAGCAGCCUUGUGCAGGCCUGGGCUGGACAGCUGGGUCCAGCACUGGCCUGUUGAAUUCCUCCUAAUAAGUGGCUCAUUUCUAACAUUGUCACUCCCUGGUGUUAGAUUCCCAGGCCAGUCAGAGGUCUGGGAUGCUUCCUGUAGCAGUGACAAUCCUUCUCCUGAGGUGGCUUCUCCUGGAGAUCACUGAGGUAGUGGGGUCUGCUGUGCCGUGAGCUGAGAAGCCAGGUUACGGGUUUGCUUGCCAGAAGCUUGGUUGGAGAAUCAGAAAGGGGAAAAUCUGGCCUAGGGUCACACAGUACAGUGAAGGCAGAAUUCAGAUUUGGUGCAAGACCUAAGGUCCUGCCUUCAGUGCAUAUGGACAAUGCUGAAGCUUCUACGUUCUGCAUCACAAGAAGGUGAGAUCUGGGGUCAUUACACAGAUUAAUAGGGAAACUUGGGUUUCCCCCAUUUCAAUUGAUGUUGAAUCCUAGGAGACCUAAGCAAGUAUUACCAUCUUCGUAAGUUAAAAAACCACAACAGACUUGUAGUUAAGUACCAGCCCAGCAAAAUGUCCUGCUUUCCCCGGCAAUGACUGAGAAAUUUCAAUUAAACUUACUUCUCUGUCAUUAGGACCAUGAUGAGCUGUCAAGCCCCAUGAUGAGACUUGUGACUUGGGACAAAGAAUGAGGUGCUUGUUUCCUUAUGUCUAGAAUGGGGAAUAAUGUUUACUUCCCAGGCUGGGAUCAUUAAAUGGCGUCUGAUGUGUCAAGUGUUUUAAUCUUCGUCAUCCUAGCGACUGAACUAGGCCUUCACGCUGAGCUUCGUCCCCAGGCCUUUUUUCAGUUUCUUAAUUUGAGACAGAUCAUCUGAAGGUGUUAGGUUACCCAGGCUGGACUGCAGUUGAACUUGCAAUCCCCCUGCCUCAGCCUCCCUCACGACCCUCACACAUGCUAAGGCAAGCUCUUUACUGAUGGAGCUACAUUCCCAGCCCUGUGAAGCACUUUAUAAACCGGGAGGAUGGUGUUUAAAGAAGGGAUGAUGGUGACUGGUAAUCAGACUAGCACAGGGACAAUGAAAAUGAAAAUCUGUGUCUUCUGUCCUGAUCCUCUGCCUCCAGCCCUGGCGAUGAUGCCUCCCACCCUGCAUUUCUAGACAGAUGGGGCGCAGUUUGGUUUCCUUGGUGGGUGGGCAGAGGGCAAGAAAGGUGGGCAGAUACAGUGAUGUGCAGACCAGAUGGUGGGUCCAGGGGCGGACAGCUGCUGGGAUGGCAUCCUCUCAAAUGCCAAGCAGUGCGUGCUCUUGGCCAUGGUGAUGGUCAGCUUCCAAGCCCUUGCCAGCCAGUGUGUCCCUGUCCUCCCUCCAUCCCCAUGCCCGACCCCAGGCCACGCAGAUGGAAUUGGGACAAAGACAAGAGAUCUUCAGGGAAGUCUAGAGUGCAGUUUGCUUAUCAGUUGCCAAUAAGCUCUUCAGUGGCAAAUUAAUUUAAAAAAAUACUUCUAUUCUAGAAAUGUAGAAGCAUCUACACAUUUAUACAGGACAGUAUUAAUUGAUAACCCUGUUACCUAACACCCACCUUCAACAAUGACCCUCACUCAUGGCCAGUCUUGUUUCUUGCAUGCCCCCUCCCUCAAGUAUUGGUGUAUUCUGAAGCAUAGAUUUUAAAAAACAUCGGACUUGAGUGCCUUUAUUGCAGGGCAAACAUUUCCCUAUCCCACACCGAGGCUGGCUCUCUAUGUCGUUGUCCUAGAUCCCAGGGCCUGGGUCACCUCCCUCAG
Cavia porcellus (domestic guinea pig) is the source of this 3036-nucleotide long non-coding RNA. RefSeq lists it as uncharacterized. The record is from RefSeq and is a predicted model, not a curated record. Lineage: Eukaryota; Metazoa; Chordata; Mammalia; Rodentia; Caviidae. The transcript is spliced from 2 exons.